This is a long non-coding RNA of Vitis riparia (riverbank grape), 784 nucleotides long. RefSeq lists it as uncharacterized. The transcript has 3 exons. Lineage: Eukaryota; Viridiplantae; Streptophyta; Magnoliopsida; Vitales; Vitaceae. The record is from RefSeq and is a predicted model, not a curated record.
CAGUGGGAAAAGAAUUAUUACAUCAGCUCAAUAGUAGGGGCUGCUAAUGGGAGUUCUUUGGUUGUCAUGUCUAAAGGUUGCUUAUUAGUAAGAUACCUAGUGGAGUUUACAAGUUAUCCAAAGAGGCCAUACUCACAGCAGAGUUGCCUAUGGCAUUCACCAUACAAACAAACUGGAAGGUUUCCUUUCCAAGGGAUCUCCUUUGUUCAUUCUGUAGUCAACAUCUUUUAUCCAAACCUGUCUUCUCUAUUGCAGGAGUAUCUAGCUCAAUAAAAAGGCACUUGUCUCUCAUGGGCAACCUUUACAAUCUAACCAACGUACCCUUCUAGCUGCCUCGGUGUUAUUGGUCAGAUCAACUAUGAAUUAUGGGGAGAUGCAUGAUGAGCCUUACAAUCUAUAGGGGCUUGAGGCUGCUUUUUACAAGCUUCUCAACCUAAAGAUUGCUGCCUCCAAGCUUUCCUCAAGUACCUGCACCCAUUGUUAAUGAUCCUGCCUUCUAGUAAUGGCUAGAUCUUGAUAUUGUUGGCAGGCAGAAUUGAUCCUGGUGUGGAUAUAAGCUUGUGAAUGUCAACUAUGCCAAGAAACUAAGGUAUUUGCUAGAAAAGGAUCCUCAUUUAGAAGAAUAUGGUUCAGAAUUUAAAGUGAAAAUCUACAAUUAGACCCUCUUUUGAGAAUUUUAGUUUGGUAUAAAAUGUAUCUUACGAUGCAUAUACUUGAUUCCUACCAUUACUAAGGUAAAUUCUGUAGACAUGGAUGGGAAGUGGCAUGUUUUGUGAUUCCUAUU